GCAGUCGACGGCAGCACAGGAGAGCUUGCUCUCUGGGUGGCGAGUGGCGGACGGGUGAGGAAUACAUCGGAAUCUACCUUUUCGUGGGGGAUAACGUAGGGAAACUUACGCUAAUACCGCAUACGACCUUCGGGUGAAAGUAGGGGAUCGCAAGACCUUACGCGGAUAGAUGAGCCGAUGUCGGAUUAGCUUGUUGGCGGGGUAAAAGCCCACCAAGGCGACGAUCCGUAGCUGGUCUGAGAGGAUGAUCAGCCACACUGGAACUGAGACACGGUCCAGACUCCUACGGGAGGCAGCAGUGGGGAAUAUUGGACAAUGGGCGCAAGCCUGAUCCAGCCAUACCGCGUGGGUGAAGAAGGCCUUCGGGUUGUAAAGCCCUUUUGUUGGGAAAGAAAUCCUUCAGGCUAAUACCCUGAGGGGAUGACGGUACCCAAAGAAUAAGCACCGGCUAACUUCGUGCCAGCAGCCGCGGUAAUACGAAGGGUGCAAGCGUUACUCGGAAUUACUGGGCGUAAAGCGUGCGUAGGUGGUUAGUUAAGUCUGCUGUGAAAGCCCUGGGCUCAACCUGGGAAUUGCAGUGGAUACUGGCUGACUAGAGUGUGGUAGAGGAUAGUGGAAUU
This 620-nucleotide ribosomal RNA is filed under the name Lysobacteraceae bacterium RF13. Its description in RNAcentral is "bacterial SSU rRNA". It matches the Rfam family "Bacterial small subunit ribosomal RNA", at positions 57 to 668 of the family's 1533-position model. Lineage: Bacteria; Pseudomonadati; Pseudomonadota; Gammaproteobacteria; Lysobacterales; Lysobacteraceae. The record is from RNAcentral.